This 233-nucleotide unclassified non-coding RNA is filed under the name Hevea brasiliensis (rubber tree). The record is from RNAcentral. Lineage: Eukaryota; Viridiplantae; Streptophyta; Magnoliopsida; Malpighiales; Euphorbiaceae.
AAUAUAUGCCAUUUCAUUUGUCACAGACAAGAAGAACUCAAAUCUUAAAUCAUCAUUUUUAUUGAACAUUCAACAUCUGUGCUAACUUAAUUAUUCAGCUCUUUCUAUUCUACAACAGAGAUAUUUACAGCAAACAAAGAAGAAUUGGUUUUCCUUUUUUUUUUCUUUAGUUCAUGAAUGAAGCAACAACCUCAAUGAGUUUAUGUGACGCCCAUGUCCUUGCAACAUCAGAA